RNAcentral lists this long non-coding RNA (279 nucleotides) under Solanum tuberosum (potato). RNAcentral's name for it is "long non-coding RNA (STUB_LNC000857)". Lineage: Eukaryota; Viridiplantae; Streptophyta; Magnoliopsida; Solanales; Solanaceae. The record is from RNAcentral.
AAACAUAAAUGAGCUAAAUAACUCCUUACUGCUAUAAAACACACAUGAGCUACAGGUUUAUUACAAGAUAAAUGAAUAAGAAACACAAACACACAAGAGCUAAAUAAACAAGUCAUUACACUUUAGAAAUCUAUACUAAAAGAGAAAAAACAAACAGUGACCACAUAUUUAUUACAACAUAAAGAAUGGAGUAAAAAUAACUCAACAAACAUAAAUAAAUAAGAUACACAAACACAGAUGAGCAAAAUAACUCCUUACUGCCAUAAAACACACAUGAGC